UAGAAACCCUGACUAAGACAAAUUGAUA
This 28-nucleotide non-coding RNA is filed under the name Mus musculus (house mouse). The record is from RNAcentral. Lineage: Eukaryota; Metazoa; Chordata; Mammalia; Rodentia; Muridae.